RNAcentral lists this ribosomal RNA (253 nucleotides) under uncultured bacterium. RNAcentral's name for it is "partial 16S ribosomal RNA". It matches the Rfam family "Bacterial small subunit ribosomal RNA", at positions 524 to 776 of the family's 1533-position model. The record is from RNAcentral.
UACGAAGGGGGCUAGCGUUGCUCGGAAUCACUGGGCGUAAAGCGCACGUAGGCGGGUCUUUAAGUCAGGGGGGAAAUCCUGGAGCUCAACUCCAGAACCGCCUUUGAUACUGAGGAUCUCGAGUCCGGGAGAGGUGAGUGGAACUCCGAGUGUAGAGGUGAAAUUCGUAGAUAUUCGGAAGAACACCAGUGGCGAAGGCGGCUCACUGGCCCGGUACUGACGCUGAGGUGCGAAAGCGUGGGGAGCAAACAGG